This 253-nucleotide ribosomal RNA is filed under the name uncultured bacterium. RNAcentral's name for it is "partial 16S ribosomal RNA". It matches the Rfam family "Bacterial small subunit ribosomal RNA", at positions 524 to 776 of the family's 1533-position model. The record is from RNAcentral.
UACGUAGGGUGCGAGCGUUAAUCGGAAUUACUGGGCGUAAAGCGUGCGCAGGCGGUGAGCUGUGUCCGAUGUGAAAGCCCCGGGCUUAACCUGGGAAUGGCCGUCGAAACUGGCGAACUGGAGUGUGGCAGAGGGGGGUGGAAUUCCGCGUGUAGCAGUGAGAUGCGUAGAGAUGUGGAGGAACACCGAUGGCGAAGGCAGCCCCCUGGGCUGACACUGACGCUCAGGCACGAAAGCGUGGGGAGCAAACAGG